This 296-nucleotide unclassified non-coding RNA is filed under the name uncultured fungus. RNAcentral describes it as "sequence contains ITS1". The stretch from base 1 to 97 matches the Rfam family "5.8S ribosomal RNA", at positions 50 to 154 of the family's 154-position model. The record is from RNAcentral. Lineage: Eukaryota; Fungi.
GAAAUGCGAUAAGCAAUGCGAAUUGCAGAACCGCGAGUCAUCAGAUUUUUGAACGCAAGUGGCGGCAUCUUAGGAUGUCAUGUUUGUUUCAGUGUGUCCGGUUAAUUACAUCAAAGAAUAUAAUGUGAUUGAAGAGAUUCUCUCACAAAAUAUGGAAUAAUGUCAAUGAAGACUCCAAACGAACUAGUCACUAAAUGGUGAUAAUCGUUUGUGGAUUGGAAUUGGUGAAUCAUUGUUCAAUAAGAAAUUAUCCAAUUAUGACACCUGAAAUAAGCAAGAGUACCCGCUGAACUUAA